Molecule: transfer RNA, 85 nt
Filed under: Felis catus (domestic cat)
Lineage: Eukaryota; Metazoa; Chordata; Mammalia; Carnivora; Felidae
Also listed under: 1 other name
Rfam family: tRNA
About the family: Transfer RNA (tRNA) molecules are approximately 80 nucleotides in length. Their secondary structure includes four short double-helical elements and three loops (D, anti-codon, and T loops). Further hydrogen bonds mediate the characteristic L-shaped molecular structure. tRNAs have two regions of fundamental functional importance: the anti-codon, which is responsible for specific mRNA codon recognition, and the 3' end, to which the tRNAs corresponding amino acid is attached (by aminoacyl-tRNA synthetases). tRNAs cope with the degeneracy of the genetic code in two manners: having more than one tRNA (with a specific anti-codon) for a particular amino acid; and 'wobble' base-pairing, i.e. permitting non-standard base-pairing at the 3rd anti-codon position.
Source: Rfam by way of RNAcentral
GCCUGGGUUGCUCAGUCGGUUAAGUGUCUGACUUCGGCUCAGGUCAUGAUCUUGUGGUUCGUGGGUUCAAGCCCCACAUCAGGCU